This 467-nucleotide ribosomal RNA is filed under the name uncultured bacterium. Its description in RNAcentral is "bacterial SSU rRNA". It matches the Rfam family "Bacterial small subunit ribosomal RNA", at positions 28 to 507 of the family's 1533-position model. The record is from RNAcentral.
GAUGAACGCUGGCGGCGUGCCUAAUACAUGCAAGUCGAACGGGGAGUACUUACUUCGGUUUUUACUCCUAGUGGCGAACGGGUGAGUAACGCGUUGGUGACCUGCCCCGAAGAGGGGGAUAACUCCGCGAAAGCGGAGCUAAUACCCCAUAGUGUCGUAGAGGUUAGAGACUAAACGACUAAAGGAGCGAUCCACUUCGGGAGGGGCCUGCGUCCCAUCAGCUAGUUGGUAAGGUAACGGCCUACCAAGGCGAAGACGGGUAGGGGGCCUGAGAGGGCGGCCCCCCACACUGGCACUGAAACACGGGCCAGACACCUACGGGUGGCAGCAGUAGGGAAUAUUGCACAAUGGGCGAAAGCCUGAUGCAGCAACGCCGCGUGCGCGAAGAAGGCCUUCGGGUUGUAAAGCGCUUUUCUGGAGGAAGAGGAAGGACGGUACUCCAGGAAUAAGGAUCGGCUAACUACGUG